AGCAGUCGCCGCGGUAAUACGGAGGGUGCAAGCGUUAUCCGGAUUUAUUGGGUUUAAAGGGUCCGUAGGCGGACUUAUAAGUCAGUGGUGAAAGCCUGUCGCUUAACGAUAGAACUGCCAUUGAUACUGUAAGUCUUGAGUAUAUUUGAGGUAGCUGGAAUAAGUAGUGUAGCGGUGAAAUGCAUAGAUAUUACUUAGAACACCAAUUGCGAAGGCAGGUUACCAAGAUAUAACUGACGCUGAGGGACGAAAGCGUGGGUAGCGAACAGGAUUAGAGACCCCUGUAGUCCCUGUCUCUUAUAA
This 303-nucleotide ribosomal RNA is filed under the name uncultured bacterium. RNAcentral describes it as "partial 16S ribosomal RNA". It matches the Rfam family "Bacterial small subunit ribosomal RNA", at positions 507 to 809 of the family's 1533-position model. The record is from RNAcentral.